This 253-nucleotide ribosomal RNA is filed under the name uncultured bacterium. RNAcentral describes it as "partial 16S ribosomal RNA". It matches the Rfam family "Bacterial small subunit ribosomal RNA", at positions 524 to 776 of the family's 1533-position model. The record is from RNAcentral.
UACGGGGGGGGCAAGCGUUGUUCGGAAUUACUGGGCGUAAAGCGCGCGUAGGUGGCCUCGUAAGUCCGCUGUGAAAGUCCAAGGCUCAACCUUGGAAAGCCGGUGGAUACUGUGAGGCUAGAGUACGGAAGAGGCGAGUGGAAUUCCUGGUGUAGCGGUGGAAUGCGCAGAUAUCAGGAGGAACACCAAUAGCGAAAGCAGCUCGCUGGGACGUUACUGACACUGAGGCGCGAAAGCGUGGGGAGCGAACAGG